RNAcentral lists this ribosomal RNA (497 nucleotides) under uncultured bacterium. Its description in RNAcentral is "partial 16S ribosomal RNA". It matches the Rfam family "Bacterial small subunit ribosomal RNA", at positions 28 to 507 of the family's 1533-position model. The record is from RNAcentral.
GAUGAACGCUGGCGGCGUGCCUAAUACAUGCAAGUCGAGCGAACAGACGAGGAGCUUGCUCCUCUGACGUUAGCGGCGGACGGGUGAGUAACACGUGGAUAACCUACCUAUAAGACUGGUAUAACUUCGGGAAACCGGAGCUAAUACCGGAUAAUAUAUUGAACCGCAUGGUUCAAUAGUGAAAGACGGUUUUGCUGUCACUUAUAGAUGGAUCCGCGCCGCAUUAGCUAGUUGGUCAGGUAACGGCUUACCACGGCUACGAUGCGUAGCCGACCUGAGCGGGUGGUCGGCCACCCUGGAACUGAGACACGGUCCAGCCUCCUACGGGAGGCAGCAGAAGGCUAUCUUCCGCAAUGGGCGAAAACCUGACGGAGCAAAGCCGCGUGAGUGAUAGAGAUCUUCGGAUCGUGAAACUCUGUUAUUGGGGAAGAACAAAUGUGUAAGUAACUAUGCACGUCUUGACGGUACCUAAUCAGAAAGCCACGGCUAACUACGUG